This 166-nucleotide ribosomal RNA is filed under the name Bacillus sonorensis. RNAcentral's name for it is "partial 16S ribosomal RNA". It matches the Rfam family "Bacterial small subunit ribosomal RNA", at positions 51 to 214 of the family's 1533-position model. Lineage: Bacteria; Bacillati; Bacillota; Bacilli; Caryophanales; Bacillaceae. The record is from RNAcentral.
AUACAUGCAGUCGAGCGGACAGAUGGGAGCUUGCUCCCUGAUGUUAGCGGCGGACGGGUGAGUAACACGUGGGUAACCUGCCUGUAAGACUGGGAUAACUCCGGGAAACCGGGGCUAAUACCGGAUGCUUGAUUGAACCGCAUGGUUCAAUUAUAAAAGGUGGCUU